RNAcentral lists this ribosomal RNA (423 nucleotides) under uncultured bacterium. Its description in RNAcentral is "bacterial SSU rRNA". It matches the Rfam family "Bacterial small subunit ribosomal RNA", at positions 202 to 622 of the family's 1533-position model. The record is from RNAcentral.
AAGACCUCGCGCUAUUAGAGCGGCUGAUGCCCGAUUAGCUAGUUGGUGAGGUAAUGGCCCACCAAGGCAACGAUCGGUAGCUGGUCUGAGAGGAUGAUCAGCCACACUGGGACUGAGACACGGCCCAGACUCCUACGGGAGGCAGCAGUGGGGAAUUUUGGACAAUGGGCGAAAGCCUGAUCCAGCCAUGCCGCGUGAGUGAAGAAGGCCUUCGGGUUGUAAAGCUCUUUCAGCCGGAACGAAAUCGUCCGGGCUAAUACUCCGGAUGGAUGACGGUACUGGAAGAAGAAGCACCGGCUAACUACGUGCCAGCAGCCGCGGUAAUACGUAGGGUGCAGGCGUUAAUCGGAAUUACUGGGCGUAAAGCGUGCGCAGGCGGCUUUUCAAGUCAGAUGUGAAAUCCCCGGGCUUAACCUGGGAACU